GACGAACGCUGGCGGCGUGCCUAAUACAUGCAAGUUGAGCGCUGAAGGUUGGUACUUGUACCGACUGGAUGAGCAGCGAACGGGUGAGUAACGCGUGUGGAAUCUGCCUUUGAGCGGGGGACAACAUUUGGAAACGAAUGCUAAUACCGCAUAAAAACUUUAAACACAAUUUUUAAGUUUGAAAUAUGCAAUUGCAUCACUCAAAGAUGAUCCCGCGUUGUAUUAGCUAGUUGGUGAGGUAAAGGCUCACCAAGGCGAUGAUACAUAGCCGACCUGAGAGGGUGAUCGGCCACAUUGGGACUGAGACACGGCACAAACUCCUACGGGAGGCAGCAGUAGGGAAUCUUCGGCAAUGGACGAAAGUCUGACCGAGCAACGCCGAGUGAGUGAAGAAGGUUUUCGGAUCGUAAAACUCUGUUGGUAGAGAAGAACGUUGGUGAGAGUGGAAAGCUCAUCAAGUGACGGUAAUUACCAAGAAAGGGACGGCUAACUACGUG
This 497-nucleotide ribosomal RNA is filed under the name uncultured bacterium. RNAcentral's name for it is "partial 16S ribosomal RNA". It matches the Rfam family "Bacterial small subunit ribosomal RNA", at positions 28 to 507 of the family's 1533-position model. The record is from RNAcentral.